Drosophila willistoni is the source of this 1155-nucleotide long non-coding RNA. RefSeq lists it as uncharacterized. The transcript has 2 exons. NCBI's taxonomy places the organism in Eukaryota, Metazoa, Arthropoda, Insecta, Diptera, Drosophilidae. The record is from RefSeq and is a predicted model, not a curated record.
CCUACUUUAACAAGAUUUUUCUAUAUUUCUAUUGAGAUAUUUGUGAAAAGAAGUAGGAAUUUUGAUUGAUGGUUAUAUAGUGGUCCGAUCUGACAAAUUGUGAAACUUGAUCUCAAUGAGUUCAAAAAGGCUUAAUCUCCAAGUUUUAUUUUAGUAGUUUUCUAAUUGAGACAGACGGACGUGACUAUAUCGAUUCGGAUUCCCACGCUGAGCAACGCGGCAAUCAAUCAAAUUCUCUCUUUCAUCGAUCGUUCCUAUAGACGCUAUAUGCAUAUAGUAGUUCGGUCUUAAUGAAUUGACACUUGACUGUGUGGUAAACUAUUUUUCGAUAAAAAAAAUUUGAAAAACACGCCUUGUUUAUUCUGUCAAUUUGAACAAAAAGCAAUACGAAUUUGGGACAUUUAGUUCAGUUUUUUUAGUUUUUUAGGGAAGGCAGACCAGUUAAGAUUGGGCAUUUUUACUUUAAAUUUGUUUUAGAUGUUAUUAGAAGUAAAAAAAAAAACAAAAUACAAAAAUGAAGAUCUAAUUUUGGCUUGUUGUGAAAUUCAAAAUUAAAGAGUUGACUUCUUGCAACCUCCAGCGAUGUCCCAUGCUAAGAAUUCCUGGCGACGUACGUAAGCAGCACAGGACGGCUUGCCUUUACAGAAAGAGCCAAUCAAAUGAAUAAUGAAGACAAGGAUGCGAACUUGACAUUGAACAGCCAUUCGAGAGAUGGUCUAUUCGAGGAUCAAAAACAUGGCUCCUUUCUUCAUAUGCGGCAAUAAAUAUCGAGGUUCUCCUUAAUUAUCUGGGCAAGAAGGAGGGUUGGGAGAAUAGCAAAGCCUUCCAUUCUCUGGCCGACAAAGUACCCUUCUCAACUAUUGCUGACUAUUUUGACUAUUAUGGUUACAGUUCCGGACAAUCAAGAGCGCUUGGACAUUGAAGACAAGGUGGUACCUGAAUUGAGCGAUGGAAUAUCAAUUGCGUAUCACGAAUCUGACUGAAAAUUGCAUCAUCUACAUUUAAUAAAGUAGGUCUAGUCCGGAAAGCAGAAGCAUUGUGGAGCUCAGAUUUAGAUACAUUGGACGACCGACUAGCCAGUCUAUUCCAGUUUUAUAUUCCACCAAAAAACUUAGUUUAAAUAAAAAGCCACGCAAACCAUUUAGACACUUCGAA